RNAcentral lists this ribosomal RNA (1022 nucleotides) under Serratia marcescens. RNAcentral's name for it is "partial 23S ribosomal RNA". It matches the Rfam family "Bacterial large subunit ribosomal RNA", at positions 1778 to 2797 of the family's 2925-position model. Lineage: Bacteria; Pseudomonadati; Pseudomonadota; Gammaproteobacteria; Enterobacterales; Yersiniaceae. The record is from RNAcentral.
CGAAGAUACCAGCUGGCUGCAACUGUUUAAUAAAAACACAGCACUGUGCAAACACGAAAGUGGACGUAUACGGUGUGACGCCUGCCCGGUGCUGGAAGGUUAAUUGAUGGGGUCAGCCGCAAGGCGAAGCUCUUGAUCGAAGCCCCAGUAAACGGCGGCCGUAACUAUAACGGUCCUAAGGUAGCGAAAUUCCUUGUCGGGUAAGUUCCGACCUGCACGAAUGGCGUAAUGAUGGCCAGGCUGUCUCCACCCGAGACUCAGUGAAAUUGAACUCGCUGUGAAGAUGCAGUGUACCCGCGGCAAGACGGAAAGACCCCGUGAACCUUUACUAUAGCUUGACACUGAACAUUGAGCCUUGAUGUGUAGGAUAGGUGGGAGGCUUUGAAGCGUGGACGCCAGUCUGCGUGGAGCCAUCCUUGAAAUACCACCCUUUAAUGUUUGAUGUUCUAACUCGGCCCCGUGAUCCGGGGUGAGGACAGUGUCUGGUGGGUAGUUUGACUGGGGCGGUCUCCUCCCAAAGAGUAACGGAGGAGCACGAAGGUUAGCUAAUCACGGUCGGACAUCGUGAGGUUAGUGCAAAGGCAUAAGCUAGCUUGACUGCGAGAGUGACGGCUCGAGCAGGUACGAAAGUAGGUCUUAGUGAUCCGGUGGUUCUGAAUGGAAGGGCCAUCGCUCAACGGAUAAAAGGUACUCCGGGGAUAACAGGCUGAUACCGCCCAAGAGUUCAUAUCGACGGCGGUGUUUGGCACCUCGAUGUCGGCUCAUCACAUCCUGGGGCUGAAGUAGGUCCCAAGGGUAUGGCUGUUCGCCAUUUAAAGUGGUACGCGAGCUGGGUUUAGAACGUCGUGAGACAGUUCGGUCCCUAUCUGCCGUGGGCGUUGGAAGAUUGAGAGGGGUUGCUCCUAGUACGAGAGGACCGGAGUGAACGCACCACUGGUGUUCGGGUUGUCAUGCCAAUGGCAUUGCCCGGUAGCUAAGUGCGGAAAAGAUAAGCGCUGAAAGCAUCUAAGCGCGAAACUUGC